CCUUGACGAACCUCAUCGAGGGGCCCUUGACGCGACCCCAGGUCAGGCGGGGCUACCCGCUGAGUUUAAGCAUAUCAAUAAGCGGAGGAA
RNAcentral lists this ribosomal RNA (90 nucleotides) under Astrothalamus reticulatus. RNAcentral's name for it is "partial 28S ribosomal RNA". The stretch from base 33 to 90 matches the Rfam family "Eukaryotic large subunit ribosomal RNA", at positions 1 to 58 of the family's 3401-position model. The record is from RNAcentral. Lineage: Eukaryota; Viridiplantae; Streptophyta; Magnoliopsida; Rosales; Urticaceae.